UGGGUAGGGAGCGUUCUGUAAGCCUGCGAAGGUGACCUGUGAGGGUUGCUGGAGGUAUCAGAAGUGCGAAUGCUGACAUAAGUAACGAUAAAGCGGGUGAAAAGCCCGCUCGCCGGAAGACCAAGGGUUCCUGUCCAACGUUAAUCGGGGCAGGGUGAGUCGACCCCUAAGGCGAGGCCGAAAGGCGUAGUCGAUGGGAAACAGGUUAAUAUUCCUGUACUUGGUGUUACUGCGAAGGGGGGACGGAGAAGGCUAUGUUAGCCGGGCGACGGUUGUCCCGGUUUAAGCAUGUAGGCUGGUUGUCCAGGCAAAUCCGGAUAAUCAAGGCUGAGGUGUGAUGACGAGGCACUACGGUGCUGAAGUAACAAAUGCCCUGCUUCCAGGAAAAGCCUCUAAGCAUCAGGUAACAUCAAAUCGUACCCCAAACCGACACAGGUGGUCAGGUAGAGAAUACCAAGGCGCUUGAGAGAACUCGGGUGAAGGAACUAGGCAAAAUGGUGCCGUAACUUCGGGAGAAGGCACGCUGGUGUGUAGGUGAAGUCCCUGCGGAUGGAGCUGAGACCAGUCGAAGAUACCAGCUGGCUGCAACUGUUUAUUAAAAACACAGCACUGUGCAAACACGAAAGUGGACGUAUACGGUGUGACGCCUGCCCGGUGCCGGAAGGUUAAUUGAUGGGGUUAUCCGUAAGGAGAAGCUCUUGAUCGAAGCCCCGGUAAACGGCGGCCGUAACUAUAACGGUCCUAAGGUAGCGAAAUUCCUUGUCGGGUAAGUUCCGACCUGCACGAAUGGCGUAAUGAUGGCCAGGCUGUCUCCACCCGAGACUCAGUGAAAUUGAACUCGCUGUGAAGAUGCAGUGUACCCGCGGCAAGACGGAAAGACCCCGUGAACCUUUACUAUAGCUUGACACUGAACAUUGAGCCUUGAUGUGUAGGAUAGGUGGGAGGCUUUGAAGCGUGGACGCCAGUCUGCGUGGAGCCAACCUUGAAAUACCACCCUUUAAUGUUUGAUGUUCUAACGUUGGCCCCUGACCGGGGUUGCGGACAGUGUCUGGUGGGUAGUUUGACUGGGGCGGUCUCCUCCCAAAGCGUAACGGAGGAGCACGAAGGUUAGCUAAUCCUGGUCGGACAUCAGGAGGUUAGUGCAAUGGCAUAAGCUAGCUUGACUGCGAGCGUGACGGCGCGAGCAGGUGCGAAAGCAGGUCAUAGUGAUCCGGUGGUUCUGAAUGGAAGGGCCAUCGCUCAACGGAUAAAAGGUACUCCGGGGAUAACAGGCUGAUACCGCCCAAGAGUUCAUAUCGACGGCGGUGUUUGGCACCUCGAUGUCGGCUCAUCACAUCCUGGGGCUGAAGUAGGUCCCAAGGGUAUGGCUGUUCGCCAUUUAAAGUGGUACGCGAGCUGGGUUUAGAACGUCGUGAGACAGUUCGGUCCCUAUCUGCCGUGGGCGCUGGAGAAUUGAGGGGGGCUGCUUCUAGUACGAGAGGACCGGAGUGGACGCAUCACUGGUGUUCGGGUUGUCAUGCCAAUGGCACUGCCCGGUAGCUAAAUGCGGAAGAGAUAAGUGCUGAAAGCAUCUAAGCACGAAACUUGCCCCGAGAUGAGUUCUCCCUGAGACUUUAAGUCUCCUGAAGGAACGUUAAAGACGAUGACGUUGAUAGGCCGGGUGUGUAAGCGCAGCGAUGCGUUGAGCUAACCGGUACUAAUGAACCGUGAGGCUUAACCUU
This 1721-nucleotide ribosomal RNA is filed under the name Klebsiella aerogenes. RNAcentral describes it as "bacterial LSU rRNA". It matches the Rfam family "Bacterial large subunit ribosomal RNA", at positions 1225 to 2925 of the family's 2925-position model. RNAcentral also lists the same sequence under 1 other name. Lineage: Bacteria; Pseudomonadati; Pseudomonadota; Gammaproteobacteria; Enterobacterales; Enterobacteriaceae. The record is from RNAcentral.